Caenorhabditis japonica is the source of this 1000-nucleotide non-coding RNA. NCBI's taxonomy places the organism in Eukaryota, Metazoa, Nematoda, Chromadorea, Rhabditida, Rhabditidae. The record is from Rfam.
UCGCCCUUCAACUGCCAGCAGGUUUACCUUGAAUAAGUCAGAGUGCUCAAUACAGGCGCUUGCUUGAAAUAGCUCAUCAUGGAAUAAUGAAACAGGACUUCGGUUCUUUUUGUUGGUUCUAGAAUUGAUCUAAUGGUUAAGAGGGACAAACCGGGGGCAUUCGUAUCAUUACGCGAGAGGUGAAAUUCGUGGACCGUAGUGAGACGCCCAAUAGCGAAAGCAUUUGCCAAGAAUGUCUUCAUUAAUCAAGAACGAAAGUCAGAGGUUCGAAGGCGAUUAGAUACCGCCCUAGUUCUGACCGUAAACGAUGCCAUCUCGCGAUUCGGAGGGUUCAUGCCCUACCGAGGAGCUACCCGGAAACGAAAGUCUUUCGGUUCCGGGGGUAGUAUGGUUGCAAAGCUGAAACUUAAAGAAAUUGACGGAAGGGCACCACAAGGCGUGGAGCUUGCGGCUUAAUUUGACUCAACACGGGAAAACUCACCCGGUCCGGACACUAUUAGGACUGACAGAUUGAAAGCUCUUUCUCGAUUUGGUGGUUGGUGGUGCAUGGCCGUUCUUAGUUGGUGGAGUGAUUUGUCUGGUUUAUUCCGAUAACGAGCGAGACUCUAGCCUGCUAAAUAGUCGACGAAUCUUCGGGUUCGUAUAACUUCUUAGAGGGAUAAGCGGUGUUUAGCCGCACGAGAUUGAGCGAUAACAGGUCUGUGAUGCCCUUAGAUGUCCGGGGCUGCACGCGUGCUCCCCCCCACCAAGUCAGCGGGUUUUUCCUAUGCCGAAAGAUAUCGGUAAACCGUUGAACUUCUUCCAUGUCCGGGAUAGGGUAUUGUAAUUAUUACCCUUAAACGAGGAAUGCCUAGUAAGUGUGAGUCAUCAGCUCACGUUGAUUACGUCCCUGCCCUUUGUACACACCGCCCGUCGCUAUCCGGGACUGCCCCCGAUUCGAGAAGAGUGGGGACUGUGGCUCCGACCCUUUCCCACUUCGCAGUUGCGGAAACCAUUUUUU